RNAcentral lists this long non-coding RNA (6849 nucleotides) under Sus scrofa (pig). Its description in RNAcentral is "lncRNA (ENSSSCG00060062047.1)". The record is from RNAcentral. Lineage: Eukaryota; Metazoa; Chordata; Mammalia; Artiodactyla; Suidae.
AGAUUUGAGAAAAUUCUUUUCCAGAACGGCUUCAGGGACAAAGACUCUCUCUUGAGGACUGAAAUGGCGAGAAAGAAAUAUUUAAUAAAUAGCUACCAGCACUGGAUUAAGAAGUUGGCUCUAAUCUGUUCUCUUCCAUUAACUCACUCUGUUUCCUGCGGGAAAGCAAUUGCCUUUUACAAGCUGGAGUGAAUAGUUCAGCUGGAAAGGGGAGUCCGAAGAUGUGAGGCCCAAAGUGAACUUCGCUACUGUGCUUAGUUGUUCACAUAUGGUUUGCGGACCCUGGAAAGUCCAGCCUGAAUUCCUGAGGGAUGCUGGAAGGAGUGAAGUGAGAGACUGACACGUGUUCCCAUCCCAUCCCUGUAGCCUGGAGACAUUUCCAGCUGAAAGAAAAGUAUAAAAGACACAGUAACUGUGAAAUGCUGAAGGGCGUUUCCAGAGUAGGCACUCACGGUGAAAUGAAUGCUUAUAUGUUAAAUAACAUAUGCCAGGCAGUAUUCUAUUUUAUCCUCACAACACUUCUAUGAGAUUCCUCAAAUCAUUCUUCAGCCCUCACUUUGGUCAUGUAAGUGCCAUAAAAUAAUCAUAAAGAUGCCUUAGAGGAGAACUUAUUUGCUUUACAAGUUAGAGGUCAAGCUUAAGGGUCUUUUCCAUUUUGUUGAGAAUAAAUGAUGUUUCUGAAGAGUUGCUAGCUUAUCUAUUGAACCCCUCUUCAGCUGGGAAGGCUGAGCUAGAGGGAUGAUGGUGGCAUAUAAUGGAUUGGUAUUUUAUUUGAGGUGUGAUGUAGAAUAAUCCCUGCUGUGGAUCACCCCCUCCUCCAUCCCAGAUCUCAGAUACCAGUGGAUAUUGCCUCUAAAGUUCCUCCAGCUCCAAAUCACUCUGAGUAUUCAGAGACCUGGGUAGCUGUUCAGAGUGCUUACAGACCCCAGGUGUCAGCCACUGCUGGGGGUGGCAUCACGUCCCCUUUCCUCCAAGUGCCACUUACCAAGGUGCUAGAAUAGAUCAUUUACCAAAUCACUUCCCGUAUAUGUGAGAGUUGCAGAUCUGUGUCACCAAGUCUGUACACAUACACCUGACAGGCAGGCAAAGGAAUGCAUGUUCCUAACCAGAGAGAACAAGAGGAAUCAAGAAAUUUUAACUAAACUUUCUAAGCACUUCCAUUGGAAGGUACUUCUUAAAAAACUGGUGAAAUAAUUUAAGAAGACAACCUUGAGAAAAUAGCAUCUUGGAAUUAAGCAGAAGUAGGAGUAGGAGGGAGGCUACUGCUAGUGACACAGUUCCAAUGUCUGCUUUUUAUUGGUAGGCCUGGGAGGUGGGGGAUUCCAGUUAAAUGCGCUGGAGCUAAAGACUUACAGACAUUCCUCAUAUAAUUUAUGGCUCUGCAAAUUGCCCUAAUUUGUUUUUAAAAAAACACAUUAUUGAGAAAAUUUACAUUUUUUAUAGUUAAAUAAGCAUUAUAACUUAUAGACCAUGGGCUUUUAUUUAUUUACUUCCUUAUUCAUUUACUUGUUUACUCUUAAUUGCCUUUCCAUGUAUAUUAUUCAUCUUGUUAUUAGAGGAUUAAUCUUUCUCUUAUUUAUUUGUAAAUACUUUUUAAGAUUAUUAUUAUUAUUUAAGAUUAUUAUUAUUAACUAUACACACCUACUACAUGUAUAGUUUCCUGCACCCCAAAACACCAGUCACAUAGUUCAUGCUUGAUAAUGGUGCUCAUUUUUUUCUUUCGAAUCCUUAACAUAUUAGUCAUAGUUAUUUUAAGUUCUCUAUCUGAUUAUUUCACAAAUAUCUGCCACAUUUGUGCCUGGUUCUGAUACUUAACAGCUCUUCAAGUUGUGUUAUUUUGACUUUGUUUUUGUCUUUUAGUAUGCCUUAUAACUUUUUGCUGAAUAGUGGACAAGACUUAUUAGGUAAAAGGAACUAAUAUAGGUAGGCCUUCAUUCUAAGGUUUUAUUUUAUUUAUUUUUGUUUUUUUUCUUUUAGGGCCACACAGAAGUUUCCAGGUUAGGGGUCGAAUUGGAGUAGCAGCUGCCAGCCUACGCUGCAGCUCACAGCAACGCCAGAUCCUUAACCCACUGAGUGAGACCAGGGAUCAAACCCACAUCCUCAUGGAGAUUAGUUAGGUUUGUUACUGCUGAGCCACAACGGGAGCUCCAGAGGUUUUAUGUUUUUGUGGCUACGAAUUAGACCGUAGGUGUAGUUAGAGGUGUCAGAGGCCAAAAUUUUCUAUGUUGUCCUUGUUUUAUUUAUUUAUUUAUUUUUUCUCUUGCAUUUUUGGACUUUCCUAGGAACUUUUUCUUAAUUAUGUUUUAAGACUUGUACUUCUUUUACUUAAAAUACCUGUGACUGUAUGGGAACCCUAUUACUGUGGUAAUAAAUGUGGGGAUGGGAAAUUUCCUAUAGUCCUAUGAUUAGGUCCCAGUCUUUUAAUGAGGCUGUGGCCCUAUUGUGAUACUCACGGCAGUGCCAGAUCCUUAAACCGCUGGGUGAGGCCAGGAAUUGACCCGCAUCCUCAUGGAUUCAUUGCCCCUGAGCCACAAUGGGAACUUCUAUCUUUGACUAUUUUCUUUCCUAGAUUUCUUUUUUAUUUCUCAGAGUGCUCGUCAAUCUUCUUUACUGUAUCAUUUUCUCUGGCUCCUUUGGAAUGCUGGUGUUGCCCGAGAUUUCAUUUUUUUUCUUUCCAUCUUUUCUAUUUUAGCUAUUCUGGUGGUUACAUAGAUCUCAUAAUGAUUUCAAUUUCUAUCUUUUUGGUGAAUAAGGGGAGUUCCUUUUCAUAUGUUUAUUAGAAAUUUGGAUAUUUUCAUUCGUAAAUGCCUAUUCAAAUCUGUCUUUUCUUCCCCACUGACUUGUAGGAAUUCUUUAUAUGUUCUUGAUAUUCAUCCUUUAUUUAGUAGAUGUAUAUUACUGUGCUUUGACUUUUCCAUCUCAGAAGUGGUUUUUGAUAAAUUUAAUUAUAGCACAAUUUAUUGAUGAGCAAUUGGUGGUUUCUUUUGAUUUGUGAUUUUUAUUUUUAUGAACUAUUUAAUAAAUCUUUCAUUGUAUGGAGAGUCUCCUAUGUUUACUUUUUUUUUUUCUCCAUUUUCCUUCUUGUCUUUUUAGGGCUGCAGCUGCCACAUAUGGAAGUUCCCAGGUUAGGGGUCUAAUCAGAGCUUCAGUCGCUGACCUACGCCACAGCCACAGCCACAGCAAUGCUGAUCCAAACCGCAUCUGUGACCUACACCACAGCUCACGGCAAUGCUGGAUCCUUAACCCACUGAGCAAGGCCAGGGAUUGAACCCAUGUUCUCAUGGAUACUAGUCAGGUUCAUUACCGCUGAGCCACGAUGGGAACUCCUUUUUUUUUCUUUUUAAUGGCUGCACCAAUGGCAUAUGGAAAUUCCCGAGCCAGGGACUGAAUCAGAGCUGCAGCUGUGGACCUAAGCCACAACUGCAGAAAUGCUGGAUCCUUUAACCCACUGUGCCUGGCUGGGGAUUGAAGCCGCACCCCUGCAGUGACCAGAGCCACUACAAUCGGAUUCUUAACCCACUCCGAUGUUUACUUCUAAAACUUUAUCGUCACAUCUCUUAUAUUUAGAUUUCCUACCUACCUGGGUCAGUAUUUGUGUAUGUUGAUAAGUGAAGUUACAUGUGUCUUCAUUUAGCUGUCCAAUUAACCCAUGACCAUUUGUUGGUGAAUUCAUUCUUUCCUCCCUACUGAUGUGUCAUAUUUGUGAUAUAUUGGGAGCUAGUGUGUGCAAGUCUAUUUCUACCCUUUCUAUUCUGUUCCAUUAGUCUAUCUGUGCCCUAAUACAACACUGUCUUAAUUAUGAGAGGUUCAUAAUAGCCUUAAUAUCCUAUAGCAUUUCUUCCAGCUUUAUUUUUAUUAUUCCUGACCCUUAGCAUUUCCAAAUUUUGGUGUAUAUCAGCUUGUCAAUUUGCAUGCACACACAUGUGCACCUGCUGAGAUUUUAAAUGGGAUGGCUUGGAAUCUAGAGAUAGUUUGUGAAGAACUGACAUUUUUUCCUAUAUUGAGGCUUCUGACCCAUGAGCAGCAUAUAACUAUAACUCCAUUUAUUCAGGUCUCAUUCAAUUUAUCUCAACAGUGUUUUGUUUCCAGUGUAGAUACAUUACACAUAUUUCUUCAAAUUUGUUCCUGAGUAUUUGAGGCUUUUUAAUGCUGAUAUAAAUGGUAUCCUUUAAAAUUUUAUUUCUUAUAAGUUUGUUGCCAGUUCAUAGACUUGAAGUUGGUACUGCACAUUGACUUUGUAGAUAAUAUCCUUGCUUAAUUAUUAAUUCAAAUAGGUUUCUUUGUUCAUUUGAUUUUUAACAUAUCUUGCUUACUAAAUAUUGUACUGUCUUUCCCAUAAUUAUGACUUAUUUUUUCUUCAUUGCAUUGGCUAGAACCUCUGAUACAAUUUUUAAUAAAAGUUGUGUUAGCAUAAAUCUGGUCUUAUUACUGAUUUCAGGAGAAAAAGUACAAUAUUUCACCACAAAAUCUGUAGGAUUUUUAAAAUAUGGAUUCUCAAGUAAAUGCUAUUUCUAGCUCACAAACAGAUCUUCUCAUGGAUGGGUGUUGAAUUUUUUUGAAUAAUCUUGCUGCAUCUAAUCUAUCAGGAUUAUAAGACUUUUUUUUUUCUUUGAAUUUAGAGAAUUUAAUCGAUUUUCAAAUGUCAAGCCUCCUUGUAUUCCUGAAAUAACCCUCAAUUUGUUGGGCUGCAUUAUCUUUUUCGUAUAUUGUUAGAUUUAUUUUGCUAAUUACUUUUAAGGAUUUUUUCAUCUAUGUUUAAGAUGAAGCUUGAUCUGUAAUUAUCAAUCAUUAUUGUCAAGCUUUGGAAUCAAUGUCCUAUAUAGGAAGCUGGCACGUGUUUAUUCUUUCUAUUCUCCGGUAGAAAUAUUAGAAUAUUUGGAAGAAUUCACCAGUUGAAGCCAUCCAUUUCUAUGUCUCCUUUGUCAGCUUUGAUAAAUUAUAUUUUUAAAGGAAUUUUUGAUUUUAUCUAACUGUGGAAAAUAUUGGCAUGUAAGUGUUUAUUAUAUUCUCUGAUUAUUUGAAUGCUUAUAAUAUCUAUAGUUCUAUACAUUUUUCAUUCCCAGUGUUAUAGUUUGAGUACCCCCACUUCCCUUUCCUAAUCAGUCUUGCAUGUUGUUAGUUUUUAGGCCUAAAUUACCCUUUUACUUGCUGUCCUAUUAGGUUUUGCUUUCUCAUAUGAGUAGGGAGUUAUCAUUCUUUAUAACUCUGUAAAUUUUGUAUAUAGUGAAAAUUGUUUGUUUCUUGACUAUUUGAUAAAAUUGGCAAAAUCAGUGAGGUAUAUAGAUUUUCUUAUGGGAAGAUAUAAAGUUACAUAAGAUUUAUUACUUGACUAGAAAUAAGACAGUUCAGAUUUUUAAUUAUUGUUAGUUAUUUUUUUUUACUUUCACAGGGAAACAUCCAUAUAAGUUUCUGAACUCAUUGAUACAACCUGGUUCAUAACAUGUUAUUAUACUGUCAGUGUCAAAGAGUCACUAUCUGAUUCUUUUUCAUUUCUAACGAUGAUUAUUUUUGUCUUUUAUAUAUGUCUUGUUCGGUCUCAUCACAUAGUUGGUUUAAAAAUUUGUAAUUGUUUCAUAUGUCAAAUUUUAGAUUUGUUGAUAACAUCUGUUUUCUAUUUCCUUAAUUUGUGAUUUUCGCCUUAUUUUUUUCCUUGCUUAUGAACUGAACUUUGUUUUAAAUCUUUGAUAAGUUUGUUUUACCAUUUUACCUUAAAGUGUAUUUUAUCUCACAUUAAUAUAAUCAGACCAUAUUUUUCUUGGUUGAAUUUUUUGAAUUGGGGCUACAUUUUUUUUUUUUUUGGUCUUUUUAGGGCUGUACCUACGAUAUAUGGAGGUUCCCAGGCUAGGGGUUGAAUCCAAGCUGUAGCCACCAGCCUACACCACAGCUGCAGCAACGUCAGAUCUGAGCCACCUCUAUGACCUACACCUCAACUCAUGGCAGCGCCAGAGCCUUAACCCACUGAGCAAGGCCAGGGAUUGAACCUGCAUCCUCAUGGAUACUAGUCAGAUUCAUUUCAGCUGAGCCAAGAUGGGAAUUCCUACAUUUUUAUUUUUAACCCUUCUGUAUCCUUAUGUUUUAGAUGCAUAUAUUAUAACUAAAUAGCUGGAGUUUAAAAAUUCAAAUACGAUAAUUUCUGUCUUUUACCUGAAGCAUUUUAUCACUUAUGUUAGUUAUAAUUACUUAUAGAUUAGCCUAUUUGUACACAACCAUUUAUUUUUUAUUUGUAUUUUCUUUUGACCAUGCCUGUGGCAAUGUGGAAGUUUAUAUAUAACAAUUUAUCAUGUAACUCUAUUUGUCCCACCCUUCUGUGUUUCUUUCAUUUUUUUGUCCUCUUCUAAUCAAUUAUGUACUUAUUCCCGAUUCUCUUUUUACUUAUACUAGUUCAGAAAUUAUGAAUACUGUUUAUUUUUUUUAACAUUCGCUCUUGUAAUUACAACAUGAACAUGCAACUAAUCAAAGUGAAUGAAUAGCAAACUCUCCCUCAUCCAGAAGGAUCUUUGGUUUCCUUUUUCUUUUUUUCAAACUCCUUACUGAGAUAUAAUUCCUACCAUACAAUCAACUAUUUAAAGUGAAGAAUUCAAUGUUUCGUCAUAUAUUCACAAAGUUGUGCAACCAUUACCACAAUCUAAUUUCUGGAAAAUAUUCCUUUCCCCAAAAGAAACCACUUGUUCGGGAGUGGAUAAGCAGUGAGAUUCUGCUGUAUAGCAGAGGAAAUGAAAUCUAAUCAUUUGUGAUGGAACAUCACGAUGGAGGAUAACGUGGGUAUAUGUAUGUAUAUAUAUAUAUAUGAAUGACUGGGUCAUUUUGCUAUACAGUAAACAUUGACAGAACACUGUAAAUCAACUACAA